Molecule: long non-coding RNA, 654 nt
Organism: Pantherophis guttatus
Lineage: Eukaryota; Metazoa; Chordata; Lepidosauria; Squamata; Colubridae
Source: RefSeq, a predicted model, not a curated record
UUCUAUUUGGAAUGUCUCCCUCCACCUUCUGCAUCUGAUUGGUGCUGUGGAUAGAGUUUAAGAUGUACUUGAGUGGAAGGGAAUUUAAGGUGGUGAACGUACAUAUUACUCCUUCCUUCUCUUCCUCCUGUUUGCAUCACAACUCUGUGAGGUGAAUUGGGCUGAGAAAGAAAGUCACCUAGCUGGAUUUCAUGCUAAGUGUGAGAAGAUCAUAAGCUGAAAAUAUCCACUGGGAUACUGAAGUUACAGAGAAGCCCAGCUUGACAAAUUGAAGCUUCAUCUGCAGAGGGACUGGGUCAUCUCUGGUCGUAAUCUCAAAAUAGAUCCAAUUUACUGACAAUCAUAAAGAUAGGAGUGAUAGGAAAACUAAAAGGGAAGACCCAGUCCCGAUUAUUUCUUGAAAUGCAAAUGUACAACCAAGUAGGUUUAGUUUGCACAUAUGUAGGGCUACCAUUUCUGGGUUGCACAAAUCCAGAUAAUCAUUUAGAUCGCAAAAAAGAGAUGUGGAAAACUUUCCUGCCACCUAGGUAAUGUUCUAUAGAUGGCACCAUAGUUGGUCUUCUCUUACUGUAUACCCAGCGUCUGUCUUCUUUAAUCCCCCAUAAUCUGUGAAUCAUUGCUCUGGAAUAAACCAAAAUACCAUGUUUUAUUUUG